AGUGAACGCUGGCGGCAGGCCUAACACAUGCAAGUCGAGCGGCAGCGGGUCCCCGCGAGGGGAUGCCGGCGAGCGGCGGACGGGUGAGGAACACAUCGGAAUCUGCCUGGUUGUGGGGGAUAACGUAGGGAAACUUACGCUAAUACCGCAUGCGACCCUGAGUCGACGGACUUGGGGUGAAAGUGAGGGACCUUCGGGCCGUCACGCGACCAGAUGAGCCGAUGUCGGAUUAGCUAGUUGGCGGGGUAACGGCCCGCCAAGGCGACGAUCCGUAGCUGGUCUGAGAGGAUGAUCAGCCACACUGGGACUGAGACACGGCCCAGACUCCUACGGGAGGCAGCAGUGGGGAAUCUUGGAC
This 358-nucleotide ribosomal RNA is filed under the name uncultured bacterium. Its description in RNAcentral is "bacterial SSU rRNA". It matches the Rfam family "Bacterial small subunit ribosomal RNA", at positions 30 to 369 of the family's 1533-position model. The record is from RNAcentral.